AGGUAAGCUACUAAGAGCGAAUGGUGGAUGCCUUGACUGGUAAAGGCGAUGAAGGACGUACUAGACUGCGAUAAGCUACGGGGAGCUGUCAAGAAGCUUUGAUCCGUAGAUUUCCGAAUGGGGCAACCCAAUGUAUAGAGAUAUACAUUACCUAUAUAGGAGCGAACGAGGGGAAUUGAAACAUCUUAGUACCCUCAGGAAAAGAAAUCAAUAGAGAUUGCGUCAGUAGCGGCGAGCGAAAGCGCAAGAGGGCAAACCCAGUGCUUGCACUGGGGGUUGUAGGACUGCAAUGUGCAAGAGCUGAGUUUAGCAGAACAUUCUGGAAAGUAUAGCCAUAGAGGGUGAUAGUCCCGUAUGCGAAAAACAAAGCUUAGCUAGCAGUAUCCUGAGUAGGGCGGGACACGAGGAAUCCUGUCUGAAUCCGGGUCGACCACGAUCCAACCCUAAAUACUAAUACCAGAUCGAUAGUGCACAAGUACCGUGAGGGAAAGGUGAAAAGAACUGAGGUGAUCAGAGUGAAAUAGAACCUGAAACCAUUUGCUUACAAUCAUUCAGAGCCCUAUGUAGCAAUACAGGGUGAUGGACUGCCUUUUGCAUAAUGAGCCUGCGAGUUGUGGUGUCUGGCAAGGUUAAGCAAACGCGAAGCCGUAGCGAAAGCGAGUCUGAAUAGGGCGCUUAGUCAGAUGCUGCAGACCCGAAACGAAGUGAUCUAUCCAUGAGCAAGUUGAAGCUAGUGUAAGAACUAGUGGAGGACUGAACCCAUAGGCGUUGAAAAGCCCCGGGAUGACUUGUGGAUAGGGGUGAAAGGCCAAUCAAACUUCGUGAUAGCUGGUUCUCUCCGAAAUAUAUUUAGGUAUAGCGUUGUGUCGUAAUAUAAGGGGGUAGAGCACUGAAUGGGCUAGGGCAUACACCAAUGUACCAAACCCUAUCAAACUCCGAAUACCUUAUAUGUAAUCACAGCAGUCAGGCGGCGAGUGAUAAAAUCCGUCGUCAAGAGGGAAACAACCCAGACUACCAGCUAAGGUCCCUAAAUCUUACUUAAGUGGAAAACGAUGUGAAGUUACUUAAACAACCAGGAGGUUGGCUUAGAAGCAGCCAUCCUUUAAAGAAAGCGUAAUAGCUCACUGGUCUAGUGAUUUUGCGCGGAAAAUAUAACGGGGCUAAAGU
RNAcentral lists this ribosomal RNA (1167 nucleotides) under Campylobacter jejuni. RNAcentral's name for it is "partial 23S ribosomal RNA". It matches the Rfam family "Bacterial large subunit ribosomal RNA", at positions 1 to 1188 of the family's 2925-position model. The record is from RNAcentral. Lineage: Bacteria; Pseudomonadati; Campylobacterota; Epsilonproteobacteria; Campylobacterales; Campylobacteraceae.